Molecule: long non-coding RNA, 1240 nt
Organism: Magnolia sinica
Lineage: Eukaryota; Viridiplantae; Streptophyta; Magnoliopsida; Magnoliales; Magnoliaceae
Exons: 3
Source: RefSeq, a predicted model, not a curated record
CAGGGAGAGCGUUUUUGCCCUAAUUUCUUUCUUGUCUCUUCCCGAUUUCCAAUUUUGGAGUUUUCAAAGAAGCAUUCAGUUCGAAUCUACGUUUGAGAGGCUUGAUUUCUGCGAUUUGAGUUCUAAUCUCCCUUCAAUAGCCGAUGUGAAUAGAAGAAAUCAGAGCAUGAAGUCAAAGGAGGUCUAGAGGUGGAAAUGGCUGCAAGGUAGGCGAUGAUAAUGGAAGCUUGAUGUUGAUGUGGGAAGAUGAUGCUUGCCAAUACAUGCCCAGCUUGCCCAAAAUGUCUCUAAUCCAAUAUUGCUAGAAGCCUUUGUGAAGGUGUCUGCCAAUUAAUCUUCUGACGGCAUAGUUACUAAUUUCCUCAUCACCUUCUCUCUAACAAAGUGAAAAUCAACUUUAAUAUGUUUUGUCUAUUCAUGGAAGAUUGGAUUGUUGGCAAUAUUAAUGGCAGGUUGAUUAUCAUGGUAAAGAGGAGUGCGGGCCUCAAUUUCUAUUUCUUGCAAAAGAGAUUGAAGCCAUGUGAUCUCACAAGUUGUUUUAGUCAUUUCCCUAUACUUAGCUUCAUCAAAUGAACCACAGUCUACUUCUUGCUUUUUCAUAUCACCAGAUUUCCUCUUAUGGAGGUGUAGAUGUGUAGUAGUUGUUGUUUGACCUCUUGCCAUUUCAAAGAGUAGUUUUGGGUGCAUUUGGACGUCUGCAUAACAGAAGUGUUUGCAUCAACCCAUAAUUGAAAAUGUGUAAAAACUCAUAUGAAGUGCAAUUUCCUUAGGACCUAUUUGGUAGACACAUUUUAGUUCAUCUCUAAUUAUGUAUUAGAGAUUAUGAUGGUUAGUUAUCAUUUAUCAAGAUUAUUUUGUCAAAAAGAAAUAUGAUCCCUAAUACAUAAUUACAAUUAACUAACUUGAGAUGAACUCAUUGCUAGGUGUCUUCCAAACAGCCAGUUUUCAAAUUGAGGGAUUUGACCCUGGAUAUGGAUUGUGAUUUUCAUACUUUCAAGAAUUCAAUUUCCUAGUUUUUACUUUUUAUUUAUUUAUUUAUUUUAUAUUAUGGAAAUUGUUGAUUUUUCUCCAUUCCAAAUCAAGACUACCUGAUGGCAGGAUAUUAACUUUCAGAGAAGUUAUUUGAUACUCUGGCAGAGAAUGGCAAUCCAUAUGCGUGAACAAGGCCACUGUAGGUGCAUAGGUAUGCAAACACAUCAAAUCGCUAGGUUCACACUAGGUGAAGUAUCCAAAAAUUGGA